This is a long non-coding RNA of Gadus macrocephalus (Pacific cod), 2038 nucleotides long. RefSeq lists it as uncharacterized. The record is from RefSeq and is a predicted model, not a curated record. NCBI's taxonomy places the organism in Eukaryota, Metazoa, Chordata, Actinopteri, Gadiformes, Gadidae. The transcript has 2 exons.
UCUGAGGAGAGGGACCAGGAAAGAGAGAGAGGAGAGGAGAGGGAAUCAGUUUGAAGGUCAGAGGGAGGAUUCUGUAUCACAGAUUUGAUGAAAAAAAAAUGACACUAUUUUAUAAUGGUUAUCUAACUAUAUUUGUAGGUUCCAAAACAAACCCUUUCAAGUGAACUGAACGGUGCGUGCCAUUGUAAAAUUGUAUCCAGAUCUUUCGGCUGAUGCGAUUGGAAUUCCACUCUUUAAUCAUUAUUUGAAUUGAUGUCGCUUUAUACAUACAGCAUACUAUUCACAUACUAUUCAUGUCACUAGAACUCACAAAGGUACAGCCAAGCAGAAACGUUGACACUAAAAAUCCCUGGAUUUGCCACUUUCUACUAGCCAUCUCAGUACCACAGUCAACAGUGUGUGUCUAGUCCGCCUAGCCGUUUACUCGACUGACUGACUCACACUGCCUCACCAUCCCGAUCAAGCUCUCUGGUUCGUUGUUUAUCGGAGCAUACUGCAGGUUUCACGCACACGCAAUUAUUGUUAACGAUCGAAGGCAAUAAGGACUGUGGUUCGACGCCAGGGUCUGGGAAUGCUAGGGUAUAUGUCUGACUGGAGCCAGCUUGGACAUGUUACCUGGGGGAAGAAAUGGUGGAGCCUGGAGCAUGAGUCAUGAAAAUGGAAGGAGAAAAAUGUGUUGCAUUGAGUGUGUUUUUGUUAUGAAUUCGUGUUUCGGCUUGCGUUUCCUCGACGUUGCACAAAAGUGUGUAUGUACGUGCAUGUGUGAGUGUGUGUGUGUAUGUGUGUAUGUGCGGGGGUGUGUGUGUUUGCGUGCCAUGGCAGCAUCUUCUAGGACAUCCCGAAUUUAAAUCAGUCCAUUUCAACACACUUAAGGGCGCUGCACACACGCAUACACCAAACAAGGCAUUAUGAAAGGAAGCUCGCUACCCCCCUAAUCCUGCAACCAGUCACACCCCUGUUCCAUUCAUAAACCUCGCAUGACCUCAAAUUUGUACGCUAAGAGAAUAGAAUCUUCAAGGAAACAAAGGCCCUUUAUUGUGGGAUUGUAAAACAUCUAACAUCUGUGAGCCAGUGAUGUCCUUUACAGUCUGGUUGACAUCGGAGCCAGAGACCACUGGCUGUAAAGGGAGGCCAUGUGAUUACAGCCUACGGCCGGCCUCUUCAAGGCUCCGUCUUAACGGACCAAUAUAAAAGAUCUAGUGAAACAAAUGCGAAAUUACCAGAACAUUUUCGAAAUGUUGUUUAGCCGACCUCAACUCGUUUAAAACUAAAUAUAAGUCUAGGGAUUGUACUGCUGUUUUUACCUCAACCCCAUCGAGGUUAAACUGGUGACCAAAGAUAAAUAAUAAAAUGACUAAGCAGUGAUUCGUUUCGUCACUUUUAUAUCCGUCUUUCGUCUGUCACAAAAAAUACUGAGCAGACUGUUUAUUUAAUCUCUUAGACUGCCAUGGCAGAAUUUAACAAGACGUAUAGCAAACCAUAUCAAACCUAACUGCAACCGCAUGUGUCUGUUUCGACAGUUUUUGUGUCUAUCCAGAUGUAUGCACAUUGGCGUGUCACAUGCUAGUCUUUUGCCUCAGAUAAUCAUAAUGUGAACACUCUCUUUUAGUUGUCUUCUUAACCAAAUACACCUGCACUACAAAAUCCACCGUUCUCCUGAGAAGAAUACUUAACAUUUACCAACUGUCACACCACCGAUUCCUUUUGAUGAUAAAAACAUUUUCCUUCUCUGUCUGUUUUUAUUAGUACUAGGAGAAACAUGGAGUCCAAGUAGGAUAAAAAGCCAUCUUUUACUUAAAAUAUUUUUUGUUAUAUAAGCUGUGACAGAUGAGUGGGUCUUUCCACUUAUGUAUGUGUGUGUGUCUGUGUGUGUGCGUAUGCGGGCGUGUGUGUGUAUUCGUUUGUGUGUGUGUCUGUCUGUCUAGUGUGUGUGUGUGUGUGUGUGUGUGUGUGUGUGUAGCACACAUCACGUCAGCCCACUGCUCCAUAUUCACCACAAAUUGAGUUAGUGGAAUUACCAAGAAUUCCUUCUUUAGAA